This 887-nucleotide small RNA is filed under the name Rhizoctonia solani. RNAcentral's name for it is "eukaryotic LSU rRNA". The stretch from base 130 to 283 matches the Rfam family "5.8S ribosomal RNA". The record is from RNAcentral. Lineage: Eukaryota; Fungi; Basidiomycota; Agaricomycetes; Cantharellales; Ceratobasidiaceae.
GAAAAAAAGGAAUUUAAAGCUGCGAUCUCGUGGGAGCUGGCCCUUCAUUUCCUCGGUGUAUGGCACGUCCACACCUAUCUCGGUACUCCCCCCCCCCUGAAUGUAUUUUGAUGUAACGCAUCUAAUACUAAGUUUCAACAACGGAUCUCUUGGCUCUCGCAUCGAUGAAAAACGCACCGAAAUGCGAUAAGUAAUGUGAAUUGCAGAAUUCAGUGAAUCAUCGAAUCUUUGAACGCACCUUGCGCUCCUUGGUAUUCCUUGGAGCAUGCCUGUUUGAGUAUCAUGAAAUCUUCAAAGUUAAAAUCUUUUGUUAACUCAAUUGGUUUCUACUUUGGUAUUGGAGGUCUUUGCAGCUUCACACCUGCUCCUCUUUGUUCAUUAUCUGGAUCUCAGUGUUAUGCUUGGUUCCACUCGGCGUGAUAAGUUAUCUAUCGCUGAGGACACUGUAAAAAGUGGCCAAGGUAAAUGCAGAUGAACCGCUUCUAAUAGUCCAUUGACUUGGACAAUACUUUUAUGAUCUGAUCUCAAAUCAGGUAGGCCCUUGUGAUACAUCUAGUAGGACUUUAUAGUACUCCUUACUGACUACUUAAACCAUCAUCAACUCAAUAUAUUUUGAACUGAGUGUCUUUUAAUGUCACACAUCAAAGACAAAAUUUCAGCAAAUUAUCUAUUGCGCUCUCAUCAUCGAUAACUAACAAAGCACAUAUGCGCACCACCAAUAGUUCAAUUGCAGAAUUCCUGGAAUAAUCGCAUCUUUGACCGCACCUUCCGCUCCUUGGUGAUUACUUGGAGCAUGCCUGUUUGACCAUCACGAAAGCUUCAAACUUCAAAUUUUUUGUUCAUUCAAAUGAUUCCUAUUUUGACAGUGAAGGACUUUGCACCUUCCC